Molecule: ribosomal RNA, 551 nt
Filed under: Sericominolia stearnsii
Lineage: Eukaryota; Metazoa; Mollusca; Gastropoda; Trochida; Trochidae
Description: partial 16S rRNA
Rfam family: Bacterial large subunit ribosomal RNA
Source: RNAcentral
GUCUCCUUGAAAGUAUUAAAUAUAAGGAGUCGGACCUGCCCAGUGACUAUAAUGUUAAACGGCCGCGGUACCCUAACCGUGCAAAGGUAGCAUAAUCAUUUGCCUUUUAAUUGGAGGCUUGUAUGAAUGGUUUGACGAGAGCUAAGCUGUCUCUUUUGAAAUACGCAGAAAUUAACUUUUAGGUGAAGAGGCCUGAAUAAAGCUGAGUGACAAGAAGACCCUGUUGAGCUUUAGUAUUACUAAGCUUGAUAUAAAAGGCUAGCAAGGCCUUGUAAUAUAAAAGUUUAUUAUAAUAAAAUUGUAUAGCUUAGUAAAUCUUUAGUUGGGGCGACUGAGGAACAAUUAAAGCUUCCUUGAGAUAAAAAAAUUUGGUUUUCAUUAAGUGGUGUAAUCUAACUAUGUGAUCCGGGGUAUGCUGAUUAAGGGAAAAAGUUACCACAGGGAUAACAGCGUAAUCUUUCUGGAGAGAUCUUAUCGAAAGAAGGGUUUGCCACCUCGAUGUUGGACUAAGAUAUCCUAAAGGUGUAGAAGCUUUUGAGGGUUGGUCUGUU